RNAcentral lists this ribosomal RNA (577 nucleotides) under uncultured bacterium. Its description in RNAcentral is "partial 16S ribosomal RNA". It matches the Rfam family "Bacterial small subunit ribosomal RNA", at positions 355 to 925 of the family's 1533-position model. The record is from RNAcentral.
UGGGGAAUUUUGGACAAUGGGCGAAAGCCUGAUCCAGCAAUGCUGCGUGUGUGAAGAAGGCCUUCGGGUUGUAAAGCACUUUUGUCCGGAAAGAAAUCCUUGGCUCUAAUACAGUCGGGGAUGACGGUACCGGAAGAAUAAGCACCGGCUAACUACGUGCCAGCAGCCGCGGUAAUACGUAGGGUGCAAGCGUUAAUCGGAAUUACUGGGCGUAAAGCGUGCGCAGGCGGUUUGCUAAGACCGAUGUGAAAUCCCCGGGCUCAACCUGGGAACUGCAUUGGUGACUGGCAGGCUAGAGUAUGGCAGAGGGGGGUAGAAUUCCACGUGUAGCAGUGAAAUGCGUAGAGAUGUGGAGGAAUACCGAUGGCGAAGGCAGCCCCCUGGGCCAAUACUGACGCUCAUGCACGAAAGCGUGGGGAGCGAACAGGAUUAGAUACCCUGGUAGUCCACGCCCUAAACGAUGUCAACUAGUUGUUGGGGAUUCAUUUCCUUAGUAACGUAGCUAACGCGUGAAGUUGACCGCCUGGGGAGUACGGUCGCAAGAUUAAAAGCUCAAAUGAAUUGACGGGGUCAUAGC